UGCAGUCGAGCGGGGAUUGGGUGCUUGCACCUAAUCUUAGCGGCGGACGGGUGAGUAAAGCUUAGGAAUCUGCCUAUUAGUGGGGGACAACAUUCCGAAAGGGAUGCUAAUACCGCAUACGUCCUACGGGAGAAAGCAGGGGAUCACUUGUGACCUUGCGCUAAUAGAUGAGCCUAAGUCGGAUUAGCUAGUUGGUGGGGUAAAGGCCUACCAAGGCGACGAUCUGUAGCGGGUCUGAGAGGAUGAUCCGCCACACUGGGACUGAGACACGGCCCAGACUCCUACGGGAGGCAGCAGUGGGGAAUAUUGGACAAUGGGCGAAAGCCUGAUCCAGCCAUGCCGCGUGUGUGAAGAAGGCCUUUUGGUUGUAAAGCACUUUAAGCGAGGAGGAGGCUACUUGGAUUAAUACUCUAGGAUAGUGGACGUUACUCGCAGAAUAAGCACCGGCUAACUCUGUGCCAGCAGCCGCGGUAAU
RNAcentral lists this ribosomal RNA (475 nucleotides) under uncultured bacterium. Its description in RNAcentral is "bacterial SSU rRNA". It matches the Rfam family "Bacterial small subunit ribosomal RNA", at positions 56 to 524 of the family's 1533-position model. The record is from RNAcentral.